UGGGAAGUAGUCUAGUGGUAAGGCAACAGAUUUUGAGUUUGUAAACAUAGGUUCAAUUCCUAUUUUCCCAA
RNAcentral lists this transfer RNA (71 nucleotides) under Nephromyces sp. ex Molgula occidentalis. RNAcentral's name for it is "tRNA-Gln". It matches the Rfam family "tRNA". From Rfam's summary of the family: Transfer RNA (tRNA) molecules are approximately 80 nucleotides in length. Their secondary structure includes four short double-helical elements and three loops (D, anti-codon, and T loops). Lineage: Eukaryota; Apicomplexa; Aconoidasida; Nephromycida. The record is from RNAcentral.